UUUGUCAUUUGACAUGAAAUGCUUACCUUACUUGAUUGGCCAGAGGCUGUGACUGAAAUUUAACUCUACUCUGCAAGGUGCUGUACAGAUGGAGACAAUAUGAUGUCCUCUGCAUCUAAGGACUUGCAUUUGACAGAUGAAGGGCAGGAUGAAGAAGCACCAGAGAGGCAAUCAAUCACCUCCUUGCUCAGUUACAGCUGCCUUCGGACCAGGGCUGACAUCUGGAAGCACCCACACCACUUAAGCCUGUUCUCUCCCGGGGCCCUGCCUUUGCAUGAGGUUUUGAUUUACUGUUUACUAUUUCAGGCUUGUAACAAGUAGGCAUCCCAAAGCCUUUUAGACACACUUACUGUCUGAGUCAGAUAGUCCAAGAGGUCAUGUACAGAUUGAGACUGAGCAGUGAAACAUCUGCAUACGCUUAACCUUGCUUCACUUCUGGCAUUGCUCUUGAGUGUUAUUUGGGCUUUGAUCAGACCUAUUUAUUCAGCCCAGGAUCUUUUCUCUUCCUUAAUAUCCUUUCACAUGCCUGCUUCUCCAGACUCUGGAGUCUCCUCGUGUUUCUGAAGUCAGGUUUUGCUUCUGCCUUUUCACUUUUAAUCCAAAAUGGCCAGUGGGAACAGCAUGUUUUUGUAACUGUAGGUCCUCUUUGUCAAGGGGUUAGUUAACAAGACAAUAUAUGUACCCUCAGGAGCUGAUCUGUUUGUCAGACUCGAAAAACUGGUUCAUCUCAACAAUAGCCAUUUCUUUGUGCAAGGGACUCUGCCUGAAUGACAUGGGUAAUUAUCUGUUUAGAGUGCAAAUAACCUGCAUUUUCAUAACACAGUUUGCAGCACUGCAAAACCAACCCAUGGUACACAGAUUCCCAAAACGUGUAACCUGGCUUUUAUUGCCCGAUUAGCUGUUUACCAACAUAUUUGUCUCAUGAGCUGUGGACCUUUCUGUCCUGGGUGUGCUGAAAAACAGCACAUGCUUCAGGCUCCUGAGAAGUUUCUAAAUUGAGCAUUAGAUAUUUUUAUCAAAGACUAGAGUCAAACUUAAAUCUUUCGCUAGUAGACGGAAGCCUCUUAGGAAUGAAAUUUACAAUGCCAAGAUUUCUAUAUAUGCAUAUAUCCCUUACGAUACUGUCCUAACUAGAAGCUGCUAUAAUUCAUUUUAUUUUGUGGAGCUUUCUGGUGAAUUAUUUUCUUUCUCAGUAAUUUCUCCGUUUAGGAACCCUCCUGAGAAAUCUUUGCUGUAUUAGCUUGAGCUUUGCGGCAUCUUUAUCUUUAAAUAGCUCUUUUAAAUUUGCUUAGGCAAAUCUGGGGUUUCGUCUGUCUUCAGCAGUAUUAAAAUAGUAUCUGAAGGGAGUGUUACCUGGGUACGAAGACACACCACUAGAUGAUACUAUAAAUGAGAGACAGAUGGAUUGCUGCUCAGAGACAACAAGAUUAUGGGUAGAAACCUGUUUACCUUUUGCAAUACAGCCGCUGAGCUGAACAAGUCAUCAGAACAGAACGGAGCUGAAUAAUGCAUGGCUCUAACAGUGUCUAAUUCUUCGAGCUGGAGGGGAGUUUCUUACACCAAAAUUCCUCUUGCAGAAUUAUCUAGCCAGGCUUGAGUGCUGGGAAGCACUUUUGAUGUGAGCUUUUGCUUUGUUUGCAAGUGCAGACGUGCUGUUGGCUAGCUAAUGGUCUUUUGGCAAAGACUGCCCUUUUCCUGGAGUUGUCAGGGCUCUACCUGGAGCAGAUUGUCUCUCCCUUCAGAAUGAUUUCUUUCCACAGUCUUUGUGUGCCAGCAGGACCCAUGGAUCACAAAGAGGAAGCUAGCUUGCAGGAAAUUUGGUACCAAGGCUGGACACAGCUCCUCAGUUGCACUGGGCCACCACAGACAAAAUCCAGUGCGAGCAGCCCCUGACAGGAUUGCUGUGGUGCUGGCUUUUGAGCUCUAGGGCAUUCUGGACUGAAUGUUCAUGCAUGACUUUUAAUUCCUACAGGUGAGGAAAAGACUGCAGUCAUACAGGCUGUUUUUGGGGAUGGGAUUUAGCCAGUCGUGCUCUGAGUGAUGAUCUUUGUGUCCUGUGUUUUUGCCAUUUGAGCUGGAGAGGAAGAGGCAAAUAAACUGUAUGUCAGGUGCAGGAUUUUCUGUACUUGCCUUUUGGAGAUCAGGGCUAAAAUCAGAGCUUCAAACCUUGGCAUGACUAACCUGCAGAUACCUGUGUUACUGCUGAAUGAAGGAUCAGGACAGAUUCCACCCUCACUGUCUGUGUCCAUCUUUUCACAGGAGCUGCCAAAUCAAUGGCUCCCAGCAGGUGGGUCCUUGUGAGGAGAAGGAGCACCUGGGCAUGAAAAAUCUCUACCAGAUUUCCAUUUGUUCUUCUAUAUAACUGAGGGAGGCAUACCUGGGAAGUCUGUGACUUAAUGAUCAAACAGGGUGGUGUUUUACACCUCUUCAAAUAUGGGACUCAGUUACAGAUGGAUUAAGGAUGUGGGUCCUGGACCACAAGGGUGUCACCUCCAGGGACAUCUAUUAAGAAAAGAAUGCUGUGAGGAAAUACAUCUGUGUGGAAGUGCAUCUCAGAUGUCAAGGUGAUGGUGCUGGAGGUGAGCCUGCAUGUCACUCCUGACACUGUCCCCAAGUCACACCCACAUUUUAUUUGGAGUGAACAAGUUAUUUAGGCGUGUGGGCACCCUAAGGAAUUCUUACCUGUGCACAAAUUGAGCCACAACUCAGAAGGAGUGGGAAACUGAGCAAGUGUUCCUGGUGGUCUUGGAGUGGAGGAGGAGUUCAGAAAGUGGCUAUUGGCAUUUAUAUUCUCCCUCCUCCUUCAUCAGGCCAAACAAUUCAGACAAUAAUUUCACCAGUUGUAGUAGAGCAAAUUCUUUUUAGUGUUCAGUGCAUUGAUACAUCUUGGGACUGAAAUCCUUCCCAGCAAACAAAAUCCCCCGAUGCUGUGAUGGCUGAAGUGGAAUGCCAGCACACUCCUGGUGUCUUCAGAACAGCUAUAAAUCCAAAGUCUGUGUGUUAUCUGCCAUAGGUGUGGGGCCCUGACCCCAACAUUCCAUAGCUGGGAGCAUUUGGUAAGGAAAAGUGGGAUCUAGGAAGUUGUGUGAGACAUUGGCGUCCUGAUAUGAUGGCGAAGUAAACUGAUUUUAGCUCUUCCACGCAAGGAGAAAAGCAGCAGCUGGGGGUAAUGGGAUGGACUAAUAAAAUUAUUCUCCUUUUAAUGAGGUAUUCACCAAAGCACUGUGGGGUAGAGUGGACCUGGAGUCCCAGCUAGGGCUGUGGCUCCACUAUUAAGGCCUAACCAUAGCUGUGCAUCCACUGUGGGAUCAUCCAGGGGCAGGUUUUUUGGAGAGCGCGUCUCCAGCUGACAUCACUGAGGUCUUUCCCUCAAAGUGGCAGCUAUCAAAGUGCCGUUUACGAGCAAGACUCACAAACUAAUUAGUCACCAGGCCCAUUAAUCAGGAAGACUAGAAAUAAUUCAGCAGAAUUCAUGCUGUCAGCAAGGAUGAGAAGAGCCCUCUCUAUGACAGCUUACCUUGCAUUUUGAUCAUUAGGCGAUUCGGAGUUUAGUCCAUCCGUCUUGUUUAUCUGCCCUCAGGGGAAAAUAAUCCCUGCAUCCCAGCCAUCUCGACAAGUUUGAAAUUCAAACAUAUUUUCAGUUCUGUCAGUAAAAUAUCAAAUGGGCACAUUUGGAUGAGUAUUGACACACAACGGCGCCGGUGCCUUUUUCUUUUUUUUUUUUUUCCCAAACGUAUUGUCAAGAAAUCCCUCCUUUGCCUUGCUGCUCCCUGCAUGCAGGAGCUCAACACCAUAUUAGGGAAAGUAAAGGUUAGGGUGCAUGAAUGGGAUCAUUAAAAAGCAGCUAAACUGAAGCAUUCUAAUUAUUCUUAGCAGCCCUCCCAAGACAAGCCAGAGGCAUUCUCCAGUCUAACUCCACCUUCCUGUGUCUUGGGUGAGAUUUAUAUAUGUGUGCUUGAGCAAGAGAUGUACCUUAAAAUAAUCAAGCCAGUGUUUAUUUUGGCUUCCUUUGCCUCUUUCCCCCCACACCAGAAAUCCACCCAGAGCAGUAAAAUAUUUCUUUAACAGAUGCAUACCACGCUGUUGGUGCGGAGUGGAUUGGUCACUCUGGAAAGCACACACUAACAAGGCAGGAACAGAUGGCUUCGAGUCGUGGUAUGGAGCUGUUGUGGCUACUGUUUUUUCAUUAAGCAUUAAUUGCUGGAGGUGGAAAUCAUGCUUCUGUGUGUGCCAAGGAGACGGGUCUGGCUGUGCAGCUCAGAUGCACUGAGUGGAGCAGAGAAGUGAGAAGUCUGUCUGGAAACCUGGGAUGCCACGAAUUUCUGCCCUGCACCUGUCUGUCAUCUCCACUUUACGAGUCACUGUCUGGGGUGCAGAGGAAUUUCCACGCAGGCCAAGGGAGGCUCACUGGGAACGGAAGAAAUCUUGGGGUAUAAAACGUGUUGUCUUUCUAGAGAAGGUCCUCCUGAGAAGAACUGUUUGGCCUGCUUGAGAUGAAACAAACGUGCAGUUGAAACUGAGGCAAGAAUGUAAUUGGAAUGUGGACCAGGCCAGUAGUGUAUUCAGUUUUGGUUUCAUAUAUAUAUACAUCUAUGUUUUGUAAAUAUUUUGUGUUUUGUUCUUUUGGUAUUACAAGGCAAAGCACUAAAUCCUGAUGUUAUGGUCCCAAAGUUUCUAUUGUCCUGUGAAAUUUUGCUGCAAAAAAUACUGGUUUUAAUGCCUUUUUUUACUUCCAUAGUAUGUGUUCUUUUUCCAUAGUACUACAUGCCCCCCAGGUUCUCUCUGGAUUUAUCAAAAUCUGCUGUACCAAAA
Non-coding RNA from Taeniopygia guttata (zebra finch), 4812 nucleotides. The record is from RefSeq and is a predicted model, not a curated record. NCBI's taxonomy places the organism in Eukaryota, Metazoa, Chordata, Aves, Passeriformes, Estrildidae.